Molecule: RNA transcript, 8820 nt
Organism: Canis lupus familiaris (dog)
Lineage: Eukaryota; Metazoa; Chordata; Mammalia; Carnivora; Canidae
Gene: CDK12
Gene name: cyclin dependent kinase 12
Exons: 19
Source: RefSeq, a predicted model, not a curated record
CCUCCCCCCCUCCUCUAAGUGCCGUUUCGGUUUAACCUAGUGUGUGACUGAGUCUGUGUGAGGGAGCGAGUGAGUGUGUGAGGUGUUGAGGUGAGGCGGAGGCAAGAAGAGGGGCUCCCUCAGGAGCGAGGGACAAAGGGGGCGUGAGGCACUUAGGCCGCGGGACCCCAGCGACAGGAAGCCGCUCCGAGCCGGGCUACCGGGUAGCGGAAGGGCCCGCGCAGUCUUCACAGGGCCCCAGAGCCGGAGUCGGCCCCACUGCCCAGGGCCGUCGGCUUCCUACUUCCUCGACCUCCCCGGCGCCGGGGCCUGAGGAUUGGCUCGGCGGGGGGAGGAGGGGAAACAGACUUGAGCAGCUACCCGUUGUCUCGCAACUCUACUGCUGAGGAACUCUCAUUUCUUUCCUGGCUCCUUCACCCCCUACCUCAUGUAGGAGGGUGCUGAGGAGUCGGGAGGGAGGAGGAGCCUGGGCUACUGUCCCUUCCCUCCCCACCCCCUUCUAGGGGCUCUUUGGUAGGCGUGGGGUUGGGGGGGAGGGUGGGGGUUACUUUUGGGAGUGCUGGGGAACUUUUUCCCCUUUUUGAGGGUAGGGGAAAGGGAAUGCCCAAUCCAGAGAGACAUGGGGGCAAGAAGGACGGGAGUGGAGGAGCUUCUGGAACUUUGCAGCCGUCAUCGGGAGGUGGCAGCUCCAACAGCAGAGAGCGUCACCGCUUGGUGUCGAAGCACAAGCGGCAUAAAUCCAAGCACUCCAAAGACAUGGGGUUGGUGACCCCCGAAGCAGCACCUUUGGGUACAAUUAUCAAACCUCUGGUGGAGUAUGAUGACAUCAGCUCUGAUUCAGAUACCUUCUCUGACGACAUGGCCUUCAAACUAGACAGGAGGGAGAAUGAUGAACGUCGUGGGACUGAUCGGAGUGACCGUCUGCACAAACAUCGUCACCACCAGCACAGACGUUCCCGGGACUUACUAAAAACUAAACAAACAGAAAAAGAGAAAAACCAGGAAGUCUCCAGCAAAUCGGGAUCGAUGAAGGACCGGAUAUCAGGAAGUUCAAAGCGUUCAAAUGAGGAGAAUGAGGACUAUGGGAAGGCACAGAUAUCCAAAAGCAGCAGCAACAAGGAAUCCAGGUCAUCCAAACUUCAUAAGGAGAAGACACGGAAAGAACGUGAGUUGAAGUCUGGGCACAAAGACCGGAGUAAAAGUCAUCGGAAGAGGGAAACACCCAAAAGCUACAAAACCGUAGACAGCCCCAAACGGAGAUCCAGGAGUCCCCAUAGAAAAUGGUCUGACAGCCCCAAGCAAGAUGAUAGCCCCUCGGGAGCUUCCUAUGGCCAAGAUUAUGACCUUAGUCCCCCAAGAUCUCACACCUCUAGCAAUUAUGACUCCUACAAGAAGAGUCCUGGAAGUACCUCAAGAAGACAGUCAAUUAGCCCUCCUUACAAGGAGCCUUCCGCCUACCAGUCAAGCACCCGGUCACCCAGUCCCUACAGUAGACGACAAAGGUCUGUGAGUCCCUAUAGUCGGAGACGUUCUUCCAGCUAUGAAAGGAGUGGCUCUUACAGUGGGAGAUCGCCUAGUCCCUAUGGUCGAAGACGGUCUAGCAGCCCUUUCAUGAGCAAACGAUCUCUGAGUCGGAGUCCACUCCCCAGGAAAUCCAUGAAGUCUAGAAGUAGAAGUCCCGCAUAUUCAAGACACUCAUCUUCUCAUAGUAAAAAGAAGAGAUCCGGGUCACGCAGUCGACAUUCCAGCAUCUCACCUGUCAGGCUUCCAUUGAACUCCAGCUUGGGAGCUGAACUCAGUAGGAAAAAGAAGGAAAGAGCAGCUGCUGCUGCAGCAGCAAAAAUGGAUGGAAAGGAAUCCAAGGGUUCACCUAUAUUUUUGCCUAGAAAAGAGAACAGUUUAGUAGAGGCUAAAGAUUCAGGCUUGGAGUCUAAAAAGUUAACCAGAGGUGUAAAAUUGGAAAAAUCUGCCCCAGAUACUGAACUGGUGAAUGUACCACAUCUAAAUACAGAAGUCAAAAAUUCUUUAGAUACAGGGAAAGUAAAGUUGGAUGAGAACUCUGAGAAGCAUCCUAUUAAAGAUUUGAAAGCACAGGGAUCAAGAGACUCUAAACCCAUAGUAUUGAAAGAGGAGAUUGUUACUCCAAAAGAGACAGAGACAUCAGAAAAGGAGACCCCUCCACCUGUCCCCACAGUUACUUCUCCUGCACCUCCUUUACCAACAACUACCCCUCCACCUCAGACACCCCCUUUGCCACCUUUGCCUCCACUACCAGCUAUUCCACAGCAACCACCUCUGCCUCCUCCCCAACCAGCAUUUAGUCAGGUUCUUACUUCUAGUACUUCAACUUUGCCCCCUUCUACUCACCCAAGGACAUCUACUUUGUCCUCUCAGGCAAAUUCUCAGCCCCUUGCACAGGUUUCUGUGAAGACUCAAGUAUCUGUAACAGCUGCUAUUCCACACCUAAAAACUUCAACGUUGCCUCCUCUGCCCCUCCCACCCUUAUUACCAGGAGAUGAUGACAUGGAUAGUCCAAAAGAAACUCUACCUUCAAAACCUGUAAAGAAAGAGAAGGAACAAAGGCCACGUCACUUACUCACAGACCUCCCCCUCCCUCCAGAACUUCCUGGUGGGGAUCCAUCUCCUCCAGACUCUCCAGAACCAAAGGCAGUUACACCACCUCAGCAACCAUAUAAAAAGAGACCAAAAAUUUGUUGUCCUCGUUAUGGAGAAAGAAGACAAACAGAAAGUGACUGGGGGAAACGCUGUGUAGACAAGUUUGACAUUAUCGGGAUUAUUGGAGAGGGAACCUAUGGCCAAGUAUAUAAAGCCAAGGACAAAGACACAGGAGAGCUAGUGGCUCUGAAGAAGGUGAGACUGGACAAUGAGAAGGAGGGCUUUCCAAUCACAGCCAUUCGUGAGAUCAAAAUCCUUCGUCAGCUAAUCCACCGAAGUGUUGUUAACAUGAAGGAAAUUGUUACAGAUAAACAAGAUGCACUGGAUUUCAAGAAGGACAAAGGUGCCUUUUACCUUGUAUUUGAAUAUAUGGACCAUGACUUAAUGGGACUGCUAGAAUCUGGUUUGGUGCACUUUUCUGAGGACCAUAUCAAGUCGUUCAUGAAACAGCUAAUGGAAGGAUUGGAUUACUGUCACAAAAAGAAUUUCCUGCAUCGGGAUAUUAAGUGUUCUAACAUUUUGCUGAACAACAGUGGGCAAAUCAAACUAGCAGAUUUUGGACUUGCUCGGCUCUAUAACUCUGAAGAGAGUCGCCCUUACACAAACAAAGUCAUCACUCUGUGGUACCGACCUCCAGAACUUCUGCUUGGAGAGGAGCGUUACACACCAGCCAUUGACGUUUGGAGCUGUGGAUGCAUCCUCGGGGAACUGUUCACAAAGAAGCCUAUAUUCCAAGCCAAUCUGGAACUAGCUCAACUAGAACUGAUCAGUCGACUCUGUGGUAGCCCUUGUCCAGCUGUGUGGCCUGAUGUUAUCAAGCUGCCCUACUUCAAUACCAUGAAACCGAAGAAGCAAUAUAGAAGGCGUCUACGAGAAGAAUUCUCUUUCAUUCCCUCAGCAGCACUUGAUUUACUGGACCACAUGCUGACACUAGAUCCUAGCAAACGUUGCACAGCUGAACAGACUUUACAGAGUGACUUCCUUAAAGAUGUUGAGCUCAGCAAAAUGGAUCCUCCAGACCUCCCCCACUGGCAGGAUUGCCAUGAAUUAUGGAGUAAGAAACGGCGACGACAGCGACAGAGUGGUGUUGUGAUAGAAGAGCCACCUCCAUCCAAAUCCUCUCGGAAAGAAACUACCUCAGGGACAAGUGUUGAGCCUGUGAAGAACAGCAGCCCAGCACCACCUCAGCCUGCUCCUGUCAAGGCGGAGCCUGGGACUGGGGAUGCAAUAGGCCUCGGUGACAUCACACAGCAGUUGAAUCAAAGUGAAUUGGCAGUGUUACUGAAUCUGCUGCAGAGCCAGACCGACCUGAGCAUCCCUCAAAUGGCACAGCUGCUUAACAUCCACUCCAACCCAGAGAUGCAGCAGCAGCUGGAGGCCCUGAACCAGUCCAUCAGUGCCCUAACUGAAGCCACUUCCCAGCAGCAGGACUCAGAGCCCAUGGCCCCAGAGGAGUCUUUGAAGGAGGCACCUCCUGCCCUAGUGGUCCAGCCUUCAGCAGAACAGACAACCUCUGAAGCUUCAAGCACACCAGCUGACAUGCAGAAUAUGCUGGCAGUUCUUUUGAGUCAGCUGAUGAAAACCCAGGAGCCAGCAGGCAGCCUGGAGGAAAACAACAGUGACAAGAACAGUGGGCCACAGGGGCCCCGAAGAACUCCCACAAUGCCACAGGAGGAGGCAGCAGCAUGUCCUCCUCACAUUCUUCCACCAGAGAAGAGGCCCCCUGAGCCCCCCGGACCUCCACCGCCGCCACCUCCACCCCCUCUGGUUGAAGGCGAUCUUUCCAGCGCCCCCCAGGAGUUGAACCCAGCCGUGACAGCCGCCUUGCUGCAACUUUUAUCCCAGCCUGAAGCAGAGCCUCCUGGCCACCUGCCACAUGAGCACCAGGCCUUGAGACCAAUGGAAUACUCCACCCGACCCCAUCCCAACAGGACUUACGGAAACACUGAUGGGCCUGAAACAGGGUUCAGUGCCACUGACACUGAUGAACGCAACUCUGGUCCAGCUUUGACAGAAUCCUUGACCCAGACCCUGGUGAAGAACAGGACCUUCUCAGGCUCUGUGAGCCACCUUGGGGAGUCCAGCAGUUACCAGGGCACAGGGUGGCAGCAGCAGAAGAAAGGAUAGCCUUUGAGGAAUUUGGUGAAGUCCAUCAGUCACCUGGCAUCUGGAGCCCUGAAAAGUUCAGUCUUUCAUUGACUUUAAAGCCAGAGUUGAUGGAACCCUUUCUCACCUGUCCAGACAUUGGGCAAGACACCAGAAGUAGAGGCCCACAAGCCUGCUUCCCUCUAUCCUCAUUGCCCAGAACCAGGCAGGUCAUGGGCUUUCAGUGCCCACCCCCACCCUUCUUGCUGCCAGGCCUUCUCUCUCAGCAGCUCCCCUCUCACCCCUGUAAGCCAGACAGCACAAGCAUCAGCCAUAGUAAGUGCCAACUCUGGGUCAGGUGCUCCCUUCCUGAUUGACACAUAUCUUGAGUUGGAAUUAGGAUGCAGUGGAUGAAAGGAUAAAGAAGCAGGAAAUAUCCCUGGAAGUGGUCAAACAAUGUGGAAAUGGAAACCCAGAGAGGAAAAAUCAGUUGAGUCCUGUCCUGGAAUUGCUUUGUGUUCCUGGCUUUGGAGACUUCCUGGGAACCCAAGGAAAGGAUGGUAGGUUGGGAAGAGAUUUGGAUGUCUGAACCUCCCACCUGACACCUCGAAGGUUGUUAUACAUAUACCCUCUCUAGCUUCCAAAACCACCACGGAGGAAGGGAAGAAAGGCAUCUCAGAGGUGGCAGUGAUAUGAUACCUAACACCACCUAGGAAAUGAGGCCAAGGAGGAGAAGAAACAGUGACCAGAGAGGGAGCCAGGAGAUGCCUGCUCUUGAAACAGCCUCUUUAUCCCAUCCUCUCCAGAGCCCCCUCUCACAUGCUGACAAGGCUGUGUGCCCAAGUGUGCCAGCUCUCCUGGCUAGCAAUCCUGCUCUGCCGUUCAGGCAGCCGGCUCUCUGCUCUGGCACAGAGCACAUGCUGGGGUCUCUCACACUCUCUUUGCUCACUCAUCUCAUGUGUCUGUGUUGCAGAUUCCUAGGGAUGAAAGAGGAAGCUAUGGCCCUGUGAGUAGGAAGAUGGUGGGUUUGGGUGCUUUGGGUGUAUAUUUGCCUCACUAGAGAUCAAAGAGGGAGAAGGCUGCUGGCAGCUCAGCUGAGCUCAAGGUUCUGGUGACUCAUAGCAAUGGGGGCAACUCAUGAAAACAACAGAGAGGAAGGGGGUCCAGGAUUGUUAGAGCUCUCUUUUGCCCCAAUUUUCCCCCACUCUGAACUGUGUGGAUGAGUCUCUCAUCUGGAUUGUGGGGCAAAGAGAGGCUCCAGCUAUGAAAGAAUAGAGGGAAAUGGGAGAGAAGAGAUUAGGAGAAGUUGAACAUUCCCAGGAAGAGGCUUCCCACUGAGGAAAGGAUAGCAGAGGCCAGUAGUAUCCUAUUGUAUCCAUUGGCUGCCAGAGGGAACUGAGUAUUCACAUGUGCAGGUAGACACAGCUACUCCUCCCUGGAAGGAUUUUCACUUGGUCUCAGUACUCUCUACCCUGCAAACAGACACCAUAGAUCUUCAAAGGUACUGAUUCUCUCUUCCCGUACAAGCCAGAUGGGCAGUGUGCAUCUUCUCCAUCCUUUCUGAAUCUGGGAUGAUAGGAUAUUGUGUUUGAGAUCACAUCAGCAGAAAAGGGCCAGAAGGUGGACCAAGAGAACCAUUCAUGCCUCUGACCGCAGUCCCAGUGUCUGACACCCACAGUCCUCCUUGUUUCAGCAAAAGGAAACAGGGAAACAGGGAUCUUUGAUACUAGUGUAUCCAGAUAAUAGUACUCUCCCUCUAACCUCAGUGAAGGAUGGGCUAAGAGGAGGAGAGUUCUCUGACAGAGCCCUUCAUUUGCCUAUUUUGUUGCUGGCAGCUCUGGUGUCCAGGUUGAGGGGGGGCGGGAACUGGGCAGGGGGUGCACUCUGCUGGGCUGCUUCUGGAGAUCCAGCUGGGGUCUGGAGAAAGUGAUAGACCAGCCACUUUUCACUCUUCACUUUUCCUGUAGGAGGAUAAGACCAUUUCUACUCCUGCAGCUCUCCCUGGCAGCAUUGGGAGCUUAGGGCCCCCUGCUGGAAUACCCAUAAUAAAGCUCAGUCCUGAACUGAACCAACACAUCACCUGGCUCUGGUAUAAAAAUGGUGCUGUGAGGGGGAGCCUGGGUACACCAGGUGGGUGUAGGCAGGUGUGGGGAGUUUAGACCCAGGAGAGAGAUUAGAAUCACUCCUCAAUAACACAUGCUCCUCCUCUUUCUCAAACUUUCUUCUUGGGCUCCCUUUUCUUCUACUUCACUCCAGCUAGCCCCAUUCCUGGCCACCUCAUCCCCUCCAGCUUGAGAAGGUAUGGUAAGUAGUUUUCUGUUCCUUAUACUUUUCUCUCUCCCACUCUCUUCCUCUACUCCCAACUCCCAACCAAAAGGUCCCCCAUUUGAACUCUUUGCACCAGUAAAUGCCAUCAGAAACUGAACCCAAAAUCCCCAGCCUCUGCCACCACCACCACCCCCCCCCCCCGCCCCCGACUCUGAGAAUGCCUCUGAUUCUGAGACUGACUCUUUAGUGUUCAUCCUCCCCACAAGGCCAAGACUAGUAUGUCCACUGACAGCAAGGGCCCUGACCUGAGGCAGAGGGCAGCUCUAAGGGUACAGUGGGGCCUGGCCCUAAAUGUGUGUAUGCCUGUGCAUUGGGCACACUGGUUUAUUAGUGUUAUUUCAGCAUUGUGAUGCAGAGAGAGUAAGUGUAACAGCUGCUCCUUGCUUGCAGUGUUUAUUGUUACCUAGAGACAACCUCCUGGCUUUUUCCCAGCUCCCCCUCCCCCCCAGCCCAACCCCCUCCCUGCCAACAGUCCUACUCUCCCCACACUGAUGGGAAAUUUAUAGCUUGCCCAUACUAUGCCUUUAACCCUCUCCUGUCCAUAGGGUAGGUGGGGUGAGGGAAGCCAAAGAGAGCAGUGGGCAUGCUUGGGCCCCAGCAAGGUAGAAUGGCGUGCAGAGGGAGGUAGGAGGGAGGACCCUCCCUUCCCCAGUCAGUGUGUCCAGACUCAGGCGCCAGUUGCCCUCCUGACUCUCAUGUUGAGAGAAAACAGCUUUGGAUCCAGCCUUGAAAUCCCAGCAUCCUCCUCACAAGAUGAUUCUCUUCCCUGGGCAUCUCUAAGCCCCCCAGUUGGGCUGCCUGGUCCUGAGGAAGCAUAGUGAGGUAGUAUUGAAACCGGAAUAAGUGUGGAGUGACAGAGCUCCCAGCCCCCUCCUUUCUGCAGAGAUGUCAUGUCAAGACUAACAAGAGACUCUGGCAUUAGGGAUGCUGGCCAGAUCUCCCCAACUAGGUGAAUGUUAAACAUGAAACUGGCUGCUGAGUCUAAUGGGAAAAACUGCCCACCUUAACUUUAGCCCAAGCCCAGCACUAGGGUCCCCAGAGACUCCCGGACCUUUCUCCAAGCUGGUCUCCUUGGUCUGGUUAGGCUACUCCUUUCUGCUCUUCUUCCUGGCCCAAUUUUCUCCUGCUUAUCUUUUGGUUUGAUACCUUGGACAAAUCCAAGAGACCAAGGAGACUGAAACAUCUUAGUCAUGGCCUCAACAGAACUGGGAAAAGAGAAGCUCCUCCAACCCCUCCCAGCCUAGGGCCUUGGAAGAGUACCUUGUCAUAUAUUCACUGUCCCCACUGAAAACAAGAGAAAUUGAAGAGGUCAGAUUUUAGCAAAAAAGAUAGAAGAUACACAUAUGGAAAAACUUAUUCAUGGGAUAUAAAACUUGAGAAUGGGCCAAUUUCAGAAACUUUCUUUCUGCCUGGGAUGGGUUUGUCUGUGCCUACCCAGGCAGAAUUGAAAAAAUAGCAUUACUUUUCUGUGGCUUCUCCAGGUGUGGGCCUCAGUGCAAUUUCUACGCUAGCUCUGAGAGUGCACCCCUUCAUGACCCUUCUAAAUGUAGUAUGUGAUGGUUAGAUCACAAGUUUGGGAGGCAGGAAGCCUUGGGUUCCAGCAUCAGCACUACCAUUAGCCAACUAUGCUACCUUAGUAAGUCACUUAACCUUUCUGACCCCUAGUUUCCUUAUCUGUAAAAUUCAGAUAAACAACCUCUUAAGGUUGUGGAGAGCAUUUAGUGAAGUAAU